RNAcentral lists this long non-coding RNA (356 nucleotides) under Homo sapiens (human). RNAcentral describes it as "HSALNT0238892". Lineage: Eukaryota; Metazoa; Chordata; Mammalia; Primates; Hominidae. The record is from RNAcentral.
GGAGCUGCCAGCCCCUGCUGAACAAUAGGUGAAGAGACACCAGGUGUCUGUGAAGGGGGAAGGGGACCUCCCCACCCCUGCCUCUGUGCCUCUGACCUGUCUGCAGAAUGAAACUGUUAGGCCAAGUUCUUAUGCUCCUUCUAGCUCCCAGAUCCUGAAUCUAAUGAGUUAAGGUGAGCAGCGGGAGACCAGGUAUUCCCUGGAAAUCACCUCUUGUGGAACAUGAGUGGAGAAGACAAUUAGACAAGAAAUAUUUAUCACUGGGACCAAAUUUUAACUAGAGUCAUAGAAUGAAGAGGUCAGGGCUCCAGAGACAAAGUGAAGCAGAGAAUUAAAAUAAUUAUCUGGAUCAUUCA